RNAcentral lists this ribosomal RNA (460 nucleotides) under uncultured bacterium. RNAcentral describes it as "partial 16S ribosomal RNA". It matches the Rfam family "Bacterial small subunit ribosomal RNA", at positions 338 to 795 of the family's 1533-position model. The record is from RNAcentral.
CCUACGGGGCGCAGCAGUGAGGAAUAUUGGUCAAUGGACGAGAGUCUGAACCAGCCAAGUAGCGUGAAGGAUGACUGCCCUAUGGGUUGUAAACUUCUUUUAUAUGGGAAUAAAAUGUUCCACGUGUGGGAUUUUGUAUGUACCAUAUGAAUAAGGAUCGGCUAACUCCGUGCCAGCAGCCGCGGUAAUACGGAGGAUCCGAGCGUUAUCCGGAUUUAUUGGGUUUAACGGGAGCGUAGGUGGAUUGUUAAGUCAGUUGUGAAAGUUUGCGGCUCAACCGUAAAAUUGCAGUUGAAAAUGGCAGUCUUGAGUACAGUAGAGGUGGGCGGAAGUCGUGGUGUAGCGGUGAAAUGCUUAGAGAUCACGAAGAACUCCGAUUGCGAAGGCAGUUCACUGGACUGCAACUGACACUGAGGCUCGAAAGUGUGGGUAUCAAACAGGAUUAGAUACCCGGGUAGUC